Long non-coding RNA from Vanessa tameamea, 377 nucleotides. RefSeq lists it as uncharacterized. Lineage: Eukaryota; Metazoa; Arthropoda; Insecta; Lepidoptera; Nymphalidae. The record is from RefSeq and is a predicted model, not a curated record. The transcript has 4 exons.
CGACAAGAGUUUCCCAUUCGAGUGCCGAAACGAACACGGAGAGAAAUUUCGGAAAUGUCCACGUGCCGAUAUAUGACGUCAGAUACGCGAGCAGUUUCGGGUUCGCAGAUUACCGAUCACCUUUUGCUGCGUUUCCUCAACAUAUUAGUCCCAUGUUCAAGGGUCCGGACCUCUUCACGCAGUCACUCAGGAAGUAUCCCACCGACGGCUCGUCUGCGGAAUUCAUUCAAAGGAUAAUUGAUUAUACGAGAUCUAGGAAAUCUGCAAAGAAACAUUAUCCAAAAUGUCUUCGAAGUCUGUUAAGGAAAACAAUAAGUCAAACGCAAGCUGCGAAUAAUUACAAGUGUUCCAACGAAAAUAACGAAAGAAAAAGGCGU